AACGCACAUUGCGCCCCUUGGUAUUCCAUGGGGCAUGCCUGUUCGAGCGUCAUUUGUACCUUCAAGCUCUGCUUGGUGUUGGGUGUUUGUCUCGCCGUUUGCGUGCAGACUCGCCUCAAAACGAUUGGCAGCCGGCGUAUUGAUUUCGGAGCGCAGUACAUCUCGCGCUUUGCACUCACAACGACGACGUCCAAAAAGUACAUUUUUUACACUCUUGACCUCGGAUCAGGUAGGGAUACCCGCUGAACUUAA
RNAcentral lists this unclassified non-coding RNA (252 nucleotides) under uncultured Pleosporales. RNAcentral describes it as "sequence contains 5.8S rRNA gene, ITS2, 28S rRNA gene". Lineage: Eukaryota; Fungi; Ascomycota; Dothideomycetes; Pleosporales. The record is from RNAcentral.